AAUCCAUAGGUUAAUGAGGCGAACCGGGGGAACUGAAACAUCUAAGUACCCCGAGGAAAAGAAAUCAACCGAGAUUCCCCCAGUAGCGGCGAGCGAACGGGGAGGAGCCCAGAGCCUGAAUCAGCAUGUGUGUUAGUGGAAGCGUCUGGAAAGGCGCGCGAUACAGGGUGACAGCCCCGUACACAAAAGCGCAUGUGCUGUGAGCUCGAUGAGUAGGGCGGGACACGUGGUAUCCUGUCUGAAUAUGGGGGGACCAUCCUCCAAGGCUAAAUACUCCUGACUGACCGAUAGUGAACCAGUACCGUGAGGGAAAGGCGAAAAGAACCCCGGCGAGGGGAGUGAAAAAGAACCUGAAACCGUGUACGUACAAGCAGUGGGAGCACCCUUCGGGGUGUGACUGCGUACCUUUUGUAUAAUGGGUCAGCGACUUAUAUUCUGUAGCAAGGUUAACCGUAUAGGGGAGCCGGAGGGAAACCGAGUCUUAACCGGGCGUUAAGUUGCAGGGUAUAGACCCGAAACCCGGUGAUCUAGCCAUGGGCAGGUUGAAGGUUGGGUAACACUAACUGGAGGACCGAACCGACUAAUGUUGAAAAAUUAGCGGAUGACCUGUGGCUGGGGGUGAAAGGCCAAUCAAACCGGGAGAUAGCUGGUUCUCCCCGAAAGCUAUUUAGGUAGCGCCUCGUGAAUUCAUCUCCGGGGGUAGAGCACUGUUUCGGCUAGGGGGCCAUCCCGGCUUACCAACCCGAUGCAAACUGCGAAUACCGGAGAAUGUUAUCACGGGAGACACACGGCGGGUGCUAACGUCCGUCGUGAAGAGGGAAACAACCCAGACCGCCAGCUAAGGUCCCAAAGUCAUGGUUAAGUGGGAAACGAUGUGGGAAGGCCCAGACAGCCAGGAUGUUGGCUUAGAAGCAGCCAUCAUUUAAAGAAAGCGUAAUAGCUCACUGGUCGAGUCGGCCUGCGCGGAAGAUGUAACGGGGCUAAACCAUGCACCGAAGCUGCGGCAGCG
This 1009-nucleotide ribosomal RNA is filed under the name Salmonella enterica. RNAcentral describes it as "partial 23S ribosomal RNA". It matches the Rfam family "Bacterial large subunit ribosomal RNA", at positions 161 to 1210 of the family's 2925-position model. The record is from RNAcentral. Lineage: Bacteria; Pseudomonadati; Pseudomonadota; Gammaproteobacteria; Enterobacterales; Enterobacteriaceae.